AUUGAACGCUGGCGGCAGGCCUAACACAUGCAAGUCGAGCGAGCGGCGGACGGGUGAGUAAUGUAUGGGGCAUGCCCGAUAGAGGGGGAUAACUACUGGAAACGGUGGCUAAUACCGCCUCCUCUCGGAUAACCCAUAUGGGAUUAGCUAGUAGGUGGGGUAAAGGCUCACCUAGGCGACGAUCUCUAGCUGGUCUGAGAGAAUGAUCAGCCACCCUGUGACGGAGACACGGCCCAGACUCCUACGGACACGUCAGUGUGGAAGAUUGCACAAUGAGCUAAAGCCUGAUGCAGCCGUGCCGCGUGUAUGAAGAAGGCCGUAGGGUUUUAAAGUACUUUCAGCGGGUAGGCGUUACCCGCAGAAUAAGCACCGGCUAACUCCGUGCCAGCAGCCGCGGUAAUAC
RNAcentral lists this ribosomal RNA (403 nucleotides) under uncultured bacterium. RNAcentral describes it as "partial 16S ribosomal RNA". It matches the Rfam family "Bacterial small subunit ribosomal RNA", at positions 30 to 526 of the family's 1533-position model. The record is from RNAcentral.